Molecule: ribosomal RNA, 1183 nt
Filed under: Chryseobacterium aquaticum
Lineage: Bacteria; Pseudomonadati; Bacteroidota; Flavobacteriia; Flavobacteriales; Weeksellaceae
Description: bacterial SSU rRNA
Rfam family: Bacterial small subunit ribosomal RNA
Source: RNAcentral
CUUGAGAGCGGCGCACGGGUGCGGAACACGUGUGCAACCUGCCUUUAUCUGGGGGAUAGCCUUUCGAAAGGAAGAUUAAUACCCCAUAAUAUAUUGAGUGGCAUCACUUGAUAUUGAAAACUCCGGUGGAUAGAGAUGGGCACGCGCAAGAUUAGAUAGUUGGUGAGGUAACGGCUCACCAAGUCAAUGAUCUUUAGGGGGCCUGAGAGGGUGAUCCCCCACACUGGUACUGAGACACGGACCAGACUCCUACGGGAGGCAGCAGUGAGGAAUAUUGGACAAUGGGUGAGAGCCUGAUCCAGCCAUCCCGCGUGAAGGACGACUGCCCUAUGGGUUGUAAACUUCUUUUAUACUGGGAUAAACCUACCCUCGUGAGGGUAGCUGAAGGUACAGUAUGAAUAAGCACCGGCUAACUCCGUGCCAGCAGCCGCGGUAAUACGGAGGGUGCAAGCGUUAUCCGGAUUUAUUGGGUUUAAAGGGUCCGUAGGCGGACUCGUAAGUCAGUGGUGAAAUCUCAUAGCUUAACUAUGAAACUGCCAUUGAUACUGCGGGUCUUGAGUAAAGUAGAAGUGGCUGGAAUAAGUAGUGUAGCGGUGAAAUGCAUAGAUAUUACUUAGAACACCAAUUGCGAAGGCAGGUCACUAUGUUUUAACUGACGCUGAUGGACGAAAGCGUGGGGAGCGAACAGGAUUAGAUACCCUGGUAGUCCACGCCGUAAACGAUGCUAACUCGUUUUUGGGUUUUCGGAUUCAGAGACUAAGCGAAAGUGAUAAGUUAGCCACCUGGGGAGUACGUUCGCAAGAAUGAAACUCAAAGGAAUUGACGGGGGCCCGCACAAGCGGUGGAUUAUGUGGUUUAAUUCGAUGAUACGCGAGGAACCUUACCAAGGCUUAAAUGGGAAUUGACAGGUUUAGAAAUAGAUCCUUCUUCGGACAAUUUUCAAGGUGCUGCAUGGUUGUCGUCAGCUCGUGCCGUGAGGUGUUAGGUUAAGUCCUGCAACGAGCGCAACCCCUGUCACUAGUUGCCAUCAUUCAGUUGGGGACUCUAGUGAGACUGCCUACGCAAGUAGAGAGGAAGGUGGGGAUGACGUCAAAUCAUCACGGCCCUUACGCCUUGGGCCACACACGUAAUACAAUGGCCGGUACAGAGGGCAGCUACUAUGCGAAUAGAUGCGAAUCUCGAA